CUCCCUCCUACUGACGGCGUGGAGCACCCAAAAGCGAAUUUUGGAGCAAACGUGAAGCGCGCUGUUGAUCUGGUUUCCUUGGAAGGGCAAGAAGGCUCCUCCUCUUCCAAAAGACAAGCAGGCUUCUCUGAGCUUCCCUGGAUGCUAUCCGUGCAAGGACUCCUUCCCAGGUCCUGCCUCCUGAGCAGAAGCUUGUAACUUUUUUAACAAGCAUCAUUCCAGCUAGAGGAAGGCAGAGCUGCAGAUCACAGGUCCAGGAGAAGGCAGGAGCUUAAAGUGGCGUCCAUUGUUUUCGCCUCCUCAUUUAAUUCCCACAACAACCCUGCGAGGUAGGCAAGGCUGAGAGGCAGUGACUGGCCCAAGGUCACCCAGUGAGCUUCAUGUCCGUGGGGAUUCGAACAGGUGUCUCCCAGGUACUUGUCUAACACUCUAAUCACUACACCAUGCUGGCUCUCAUUGUAAUGACUCUCAUUACAGAUUCCUGAGUUUAAUUCUGCUAAGCUUUUUCCAUCACAUAAAUUAGCCAGGAUUAUCCCCCAGGGUUAUUUUAACUGGAAAGGCUGCUGUGUUUUUGUUUUUGUUUAGUUGGGGGGCAGAUAACUUGGGGGGGGUAGAUUAAGGUUUAUAAAACCCUGUGUUUGGAUUUCCUGGGACCAUCUGAUUGGCGACAGUCAGGAGUCUCAUAAAAUCCUAGAAUUGUGGAGUUGGAAGGGACCAUGAGGGUCAUCUAGUCCAACCCCCUGCAAUGUAGGAAACUUUUGCCCAACAUGGGGCUUGAACCCAUGACCCUGACGUUAAGAGUCUCAUGCUCUGUCAAGUAGGGAGCAGCAGGCUGGAUGAGAUGGACCCAUGGCUUGAUGCAGCUGGACACUUUCUUAUGUUUAGCCACAACAGGUUCUGGGUGGCAGGUCCUUGCUGAGAAAUUCAAAGUUUUGUGCCUGCUCUAACACCUCUUCCUCUUUCCUUGUGCCCCUUCUGCAUAGAUUAAUACAUGUUUGGAAGCUAAUUUAUUUUAGUUUUUGUUAAUUCAGUUAUAUUUGAGGGAGGGGAGACAGUCUCCAGUGACCCUUGAAGGUCCAGCCACUUUCCAUUUUCCAAUUUCCACUUUCCACUGACCCAAUUGCAGCGAUGGAUUUGGGGUGGUGCGGGUGCUUCCCCUCCACAGGGUGCUGAGCUGAGGGGGUAAAUAAUAAUAAUAACAAUACCUAUAUUUAUAUUGAUGCCUUGCUCUGGAUGCCAUAUUACCAAAGCCCACCCCCGCCUGAUUGCUUUCAGAACAAGGAACCUGUAAUUAAGAAGGCAGCAGAUUCAGGCACCAGAGGAAAUUGUUGUCAAAGUGGACCUGGAGUGAUUUCUCCCGAAACACAGAGAGUACUAAAGAAGGAUUGUGUGUUGGUAGCAGAGCAGAAGGUCCUAGAUUCAACCCCCAGCAUCUCCAGGUAGGGCUGGGAUAAAUACCUCUGCCUAAAACUCCAGAGAACAGCUGCCGGUCAGUUUAGACAAUAAUGGCAUAGACGGAGAAAUGGUCUGAGUUGGUAUAAGACAGGUUUCCUGUAUCUUGUGGCACUGGCAUAGGCGAUGUAAACUUUCCCUUCCAAAUUCUUGCAGGUGUGUUUUUACCCCUUGAUCAAAGCAGAGGCUGCAGCCCUGCUUGCUGCGCUCACCAACCUCCACCAUGCCAUUCUCCCUACAUUCACCCACUCCCUUGCCGUGUUGUAGAACCUGCCUCUCUUUUGCUCCCUGGUCCCACCCAGUCCAGGAUUGUGAUCCUGCACUACAAAUCCUCCAGUGGGGCCUGUUUUCUGACUUCAUACAGAUCCUUCCGUUGGGGGCUGUGCGAUGAAAGCCUUACGUUUUUUAUGGACAUAGGAGCACGGUGGGUGGGUGUGUAUUUUGGCCAUUUUGCAUUAGGAAAGUAGGGAGCUGCUUUACACUAGGUCAGACUGCUCAACCAUCGAGCCCAGUCAUGUCUGCUCUGACUGGCAGCAGUUCUCUAGAGUCCCAGGGUAUGUUUGCAUUUGCGGUUUAAACACAGCAAGGUCAUUUUGUACAGUGUUCUUCACAUCACAGAGGGGAUGGGGAUGUCUUAACCCGACGGGCAUGAACUUUUUGGUUCCCCACCCCAGGCCACCUUUCUCUGGGAACUCCUACACCUGAAGCUAUGAUAUGAGCAGGCGUACUUAUUUGGGCAUGCGCAACAGCUGUUGGGAUAUAUUCACAUUACCACUUACUCCACAUCCAGCUUUCUAGUCAAAUUGCAAUUUUUUUAAAACUGCAUUUAUAUCCC
Non-coding RNA from Zootoca vivipara (common lizard), 2287 nucleotides. The record is from RefSeq and is a predicted model, not a curated record. Lineage: Eukaryota; Metazoa; Chordata; Lepidosauria; Squamata; Lacertidae.